CCCAAUUCGCGCCCCCCACCUCGGCGCCUCCUCCGUGUCGCCACCGUCUCCGCCGGCCGCCACCAUCUCUUUCCGCUCCUUUUCUGUUUUACUUUAUGGUCGGAUUGGAUGGAUUGUGAGGGUUUGCAUCUCAUUGAAAACCCUGGAUUCUGUAGCGAUCAUCUCCUGAUGGUAUAUACUGCAGCCGACACCUUCUACGUCACCGAUGAGCGGUCGAAGAAUCCCCCGUCGAGCAAAGAUGGGAUCGAUGAGGAGACGGAGACCAUGCCGCGGGUGGCACCUCAUCCGAGAGAGCGGCGUUCUUCUUAGACGGUGUCCUUUUCCCCGUACUUGUGAAUAUUUUCUUGCUUGUUGAUCAAUUAGAAGUGAUUUCAAAGAAUUAUCUGUGGCACGGUAUGCAUCAGCUUUACAACUGUGGGUCUCCAAGUUUUUUUUCUUUUGUGAGUUCCUUAACUAUUAAGACCACAGGGCAGGUCCUUCUCCAUUGGUUCUACUGCAAGAAGUCCUUUGCCCGCUUUAGCGUGAAGCUGUGUGUGGUUAGCUUCGAAGUCGGAGGAAUGCCCAAAAAAAGCAAAGCAUCUAAUGAUUGUCUUCCACAGAAUGGAAUGAAUGUAGAAGGAGAAAACCUGCCAAUAGAGCUAUUGGAUGUCUUUUCCAAGAUGCAUUUGAUUGGCACAGAAAUAUACAGAGCUGAUGAACGAUUUGGUUGGGACUGAGCAACAUUUGCUGAAAGAAAUGGACUUUAUUUGCCAUGUUGAACAUCCUCAUAAGUUUAUAUCCAACUAGCUUGCAACACUUGAAGUAUCUCCUCAGCUGAGGCAGGAAGCCUGGAAUCUAGCAAAUGAUAGGUGAUUUCUUGUUUUAUUUUUGAUUUAUAAGAGCAUUGCUGUUCCCGAUGGUUAAUUGUCAUGGUAACUUUAUCCUUAUACUAUUUCUUCAUAUAUUUUUCAUGUUCUAGAGAUUCUUUGAAUGAUUCAGUUUAUUUGUUAAUACUUGGCUUUUCAUUAUUCCAGCUUAUUAUUUCUUCCUUGUUAUAUAUUUCUUGCCCAUAAACUGAUUUAUUAUAGAGCAUAAAGCUGCUUAUACUGAUCCCCCAUAGGACCUACAUUCAUUGGUGGGAGAACUGGUGCAAUGGAUUUGCCCUUUUUAUUCACAUAUAUUACCCAAAUACGGUGGGCAGAACUUAAAGAGUUGCAGUGUCGACCAUGAAUUCACUUGAACUAUAUCCUGCAUCCAUUUGAUCAUGAAAGUCCUCUCUUCUUAUAGGAUAGAUACUCGCGGCAUCAUUCAUCACGAGGCAUGUUGGCAUUCUUUUUAGCCUUAUCAUUUUUAUUUUUCUGGGAACCAAAGAGUUUUUUCAUUGAGACUUUAUGUAAACCUUUUCUGAAAAUUGCAGUGAAUAUCAUAGCUCACACACAUCUUGUGGACGAGAUCGACAUGAGAAAGAUCGGCAUAGACAUCAUCCAUAUGAUUGAAUGAGCAUUGAUCAUUGUGGAACAAUUGAUACUUGUGACAAUUGCGCACUCGCUUGUUGUCAGGGGAUUUUCUGUUUCAGUUGCUGCUUAUGUUGAUUGAGAAGGUUGUAGCAGUAAUUCAAAGCGUGAUAGUGAAACUCCGACUCUUAUUACCAUCUGUCGGGCAUCUUCUUGUGUGACCAUCACAUUCUAAUCGCUGGACUAAGGACUGUCUAGCUACCAAGCGAUUACUGUGCCGAUGUGUA
Non-coding RNA from Musa acuminata subsp. malaccensis (wild Malaysian banana), 1720 nucleotides. The record is from RefSeq and is a predicted model, not a curated record. Lineage: Eukaryota; Viridiplantae; Streptophyta; Magnoliopsida; Zingiberales; Musaceae.